UCUAGCAUCGUAGUGUGCACGGCAGUGCGCGCGUCGUGUGCCAGCAAACGUCGUCGCUGACGGGAAUGUCAAGAAAUUGCGUUGUACGAAAUGUGUGCAAAUUCCCUCGGGAACCUCGGGAACUGUGGGGCGGUAGGAGGAGAAGGAAAGCGGGGGAGAAGGGGUGGCGCGUUAGGCAGAGUGUGUUAUAUGCCGGUACACGCGGGUGGGGCUGUGUGCGAUGAUCACACAGAAUGAUGCUGUCGAUGUGUUGGUGAUGAAAUGGGACGGUUCUUCGUGUGCGUGUGUGCUUGUGUCUGUAUGCGCGUUCGUUAUCCGUGUUGGACCCGGGCUUGGAGUAGGGAUUGGAUGUUGUUUGUUUUGUUCCCGCACUCAACCAUCGUCAGCCGAAUGGAGCAGAAGCGCCGUGGCCCUAGUAGCAGCAGCAGCAAAGGGUUGUCGCUCGCCUGCCGGGUUCACCUGUGCGCGGUUGCCGUGUGGUGUUGGCUGCUGCUGCUGAGCGAACACGCCAAUUAGUCGACCGACGUACACCGGACGUGCGUGGCUACACUGGAACCAAACAUUAGCUUCCAAGCGAUUAACCGAGUGUGUGCAGUGUAUUUUUACUUUGUUUCUGUGCUUUGUUAAAUUAAAAAAAGGCUUCGUGUGUGACGUUAUUUUGAGCUGCUUUAUCGAUGGAACUCCCCUAUCGCUGCCCACAUGUGUGUUUGUGUAUGUGAUGUGCCAGUGUGCUUUAAAAGGAGAAAAAUGCCCUCUAAAAAACAGGCGAAUUUAAACAAAGCAAAAAUGUGGUGCAAAAAAGUGCAAAAUACUCAUACGCCCAUUAGAAUGCUGUGAAAUGAGGUGUAGCGUGGUGUGAUAGUGUUAUAAAACUGCACCUCUCCCCAUGUAACGUUUGCCGUGUGCGUUUCAAUGUGCAACAAAGGAAAGGAACACAAUUCCAUCGCUCGAUUGAAAUCGAAAGCCAGCAGCAGUGCGCAUAGGUAAAGGACGGUUUCGAUCGAUUUCGUAUCACCUGAUCCCGGUCCUUCACACGGUGUGCGAGAGGAUGCACAAAAAUGCACCACCCCACCCCUGGCCUGCACACUGCACUUCUCGCUGGUUCAGCUGCGCAUUGGAAAAAAGGGAAAGCUCCGUUGCCGUUGUUGCUGCUCGCUCUGGCGUUACUGAUGGCAUAGAGCGACGAGUGUGAGCGAGAGUGAUUGUACAAAACACAACCAAACGAGCAGAGACAGGAUGGAGGCGAAUACAUUUCGCUAACAUCAUAAAAUCAUUUUGGCACUCUUCCCGCGGCGCUAAAGAUAUCAGUGCUUAGAAAUGGCAGAAAGGAAAGUCAUCUUUGGCAGAUAAUUAGCAAACAGGCAGCCAGCAACGGAGCAGACCGCACCAGCACAUGCAACGUCGUGCAGGGUAAGUACAUGCUCUAAUAAUUGCACACUAAAUAUGAUUCCAAAUCGAUAUGGAUUGAAGGGAGCCUUUUUAAUUACAUUCAUCAUCGUGCCGUUUUUCACGGGUAGUUUUUUGAUCAGAUUGUGUUGAAUGUGCUUUCAAUUUAAAAUUUUAUAUUUGCAAAUAACUUCCAAUUGAACGUUUUUACGAUGCCUGUUACAGCUACUGUAGCUGUUGCUACUGCUGCUGCUACUACUACUGCUGCUGGUACUCUAAGACGAAUAGUUAUUAGUUCUGUUUAUUAUUUCAUGUUUUAAAGCAUUAAUCGAAACAUUAUUCAAAUUAUUUUCAAGAAGUUGACGUGACGAACAGAACAACCGAUCUUGGCUUAAAAAAAGAGCAAUUUUAAGAUGAUCUGUGAGAUAUUUCAAUCCCAUUUACUACAUGAUUGGAACGUGCCUGUUGCUAAAACUAUCGCUGAAAGCCGACACUAAACGCAGCUCUUUAAGCAUUUUGCAAACAUACUACAACCGAUCAGAUACGAUCAGAUUGAUUCAGCAUACUUCGCUUUGGUGCCAUUUGUACCGCAUGCACUACGCCGGAGAAAGUGUUCCUAAUGCUAAUGCGUCCUCCGUUGCGAGCAGUGACGACAAAAACGGGCGUGAGACUAGACAAGCGGCCGCACUUGUGUGUGUGUGUGUGUGUGUGUGUGUGUGUAUGUGUGUGUGUGUGUGUGUGUGUGUG
Anopheles merus is the source of this 2133-nucleotide long non-coding RNA. RefSeq lists it as uncharacterized. NCBI's taxonomy places the organism in Eukaryota, Metazoa, Arthropoda, Insecta, Diptera, Culicidae. The record is from RefSeq and is a predicted model, not a curated record. The transcript is spliced from 3 exons.